Molecule: long non-coding RNA, 3522 nt
Organism: Xiphophorus couchianus (Monterrey platyfish)
Lineage: Eukaryota; Metazoa; Chordata; Actinopteri; Cyprinodontiformes; Poeciliidae
Exons: 2
Source: RefSeq, a predicted model, not a curated record
UGGGGGCGGAGAUGGAAAACAAGCAAGAAAAGAGAGAGAGAAAGAAGGAAGCUGUCAGUUAUUAGCUGCAAAAUCAGGAGGAAGCGCAGGGUUCACCGCUCUGUCACUAGUCUGCUGCGGAGAGGAGGAAGCGUCUACGAUGAGAUAAAUAGAGCUAAGGAAGUUGCUCUGUUGCUAGGUUACCACGUUUUGCUGAAAAGUGGGUGAAGUUAAUGUUAUGUUUUACUAGCGGUAGGUAGACAUACUGGAUUUUAUUUGCAAAAAAAACCCAAAAGGGAAAUUAAUCUACCUACAGUCAAAAUGUUACUAAGGAAUGUAAUUAAAACACUUUGAAGAAUAUUUGAGAUUUUGUUAGCAACAAAGAAAAAGUUGCACUAUUUUUCUUUGCGACUGAAGUUACAUAUGUUAAUAUUUAGCUUCAAUUAGACCACUAUUUUUUUUUGUAUCCACUCUAUUAUCCUGGAUUUUAUUUGGGGGUAUCAAGUAAAAAAGGCUAAACGCAUAUGUCACACUUUCCAGACUUCUAUUAGUAGAUCAUUUAUAAAAUAUUUUCUUCCACUUCUACUCCAGGUAUAGCAUAUAAUUAUAAACAGUAAUCUUCUCAUCAGACAUUUUCCCCGUGGAUUCAAAAACAGCAAUUAUCAAAUUGCUGAUGCAGAACUACCUGGCAUAGUGAUUAACUCUGACCUGAACGUUCAGAGUCACAUGAAGACAGUUACGAAGUCGGCCUUCUGUCACCUGAAGAACGUUCCCAGGUUUAAAGAAUCAAUGUUCCAACAAGAUCUUGAGAAAGAAAAUGUGGCACCAUGCUGCAACAGUGUCCUCACAGGUCUGCCUACCAAAAGAAAAAAAAAAACUCAAUCGUCCAGCUGCUGCUGCUGGAGUUCUGACUAAAACCAGGAAGAAGGAGCACAUUAAACCCGGUUCACUCUCCUGUAGCUCAGAGAAUAGACUUUAAAAUACUGUUGUUUAUAAAUCACCAAACGGUUUAGCAAUAAAUUAUAUUAAAGACCUGCUUGUUGUUGUAUCAACCUUCCAGACCUUUUAGUUUCUGUGGUUCUGGUCUGCUCUGCGUACCCAGAACCAGAACCAAAUGUAGAGGAGCAUCUUUAAGUUUUCAUGCAUCACUAAUCUGGAACAAACUUCCAGAAGGUUUUCUGGGAGUUUUUAGCUUUUAAAACCAUUUUUAAGGCUAAAAAAAGGGCUAAAAUCCAUUUUCUUAGUUGACCUUGAGCAAUAAUAACCGGAACAUUCUUAUUUCUGGUCUUCGUUUCAAUAUUCUGUAGUAAUUUUUGGAUGAUUUUGAUGAUGAUGCUUUAGAAUAUGUAAUAUUUGCUGCUUGUGUGUUUGUUUUAUGUCCUCAUCACGUUUAGUAAUUGUGUUAUGCUUGUAUCAUGUACAGCACUUUGCUGCUGAAAUGGGCUUUACAAAUACAUCUGACUUAGCUUGACUCCAGGAAGGUGUGAACCUUUUCGACAGGCAUUUCUGCCAACAGCCUGUCUGCUCCAUCCACUCAUCCCGUUUGCCUCUUCUGCUAAAUAUCUGUCUUGUUAACAUAAAAACAGCAGGCCUCUCCUAACUCUAACCGGAAAGGAGGAACAAAGUGCAACUUUUCAGCCAAAAGGAAGUGAAACUGUCUCUGGAUUGAUGUGGCUUCAGAUCGAAUCUCUUCUAAAGCAAACCGUCGUGUUUUGUUUUACAUUUUAGCACAAAGGAUCCUAAGAAGACAGACACAAAGGCUGAACAUUAAGACUUUAACUCUUGCCGUCUUUCGUCUCAAGACGUCAAUAUGUGAGAGAGAGAGAGUGUGUGUGUGUGUGUGUGUCAGGGCAGUCCAAUAGGCUCCCAGUGGGUGUGUGUAAGAAGGGAGGAUGGCCCUACAAGGCCAGACGGAAACAAGAGCUCCUCUGGGACUCAAGAGGAGGUAACUGGUCAAACAGGAGCCAAAUAAGGCCUUCUGCGAGGAGAAACCCACACAUAUCCCACUCUCUGCUGCACACGCUGCAUUCACACACAUAAACGCAGCUUCGCCUCAAAACCAACACCUGAGGAUCGAGCUGCCGCCGUCGCCCCGACAGCUCCGACUGCCCCCUCCGUUACGCGGGCUCCUCCCAGUGUUUUAUGGCAUCCAGAUGAAGACAGGUGGAUUACUUAACAACCGUCUGCUGAGACAACACCGAGGCGUGUAAACCAGUGCUGGCAGAUUAGCCGUGGCACAGUGUGAAUUCAUGACCGGGCUGGAAAAGGGGGCAAAGUCCCAAACGCCAGCAUGCUACGGGAACCGGCGUGGGGCUACAGCAGCCGAGCAGAACGCCACACACGCACACGGUUUAACAGACCCUGUCUCCACUAACACACACACACACACACAUUUGUACUUCAUUUGACUCAAAUCUGCGUCGCCUCCAACAGACUGACCUGGUCCUAAAUCCCGUUGAUGGCACAUUUGUCUUUUCCUCCUUCAUGUUAGCUAACUCUGGCCGCAGAAAGCAUGCGCAUUGUGCCGUUGCCAAGCAAAAUUAAUUUGUGGGACAAACUGGCCACAUGCCAUCUGCCUCUUGCUCUAAUUGCUCAGUGGGAACUCCCUGCUCUGCCCAUUCGAAAUGCUCUCUGCUGUCCUCUGCCCUGACUUGAGCCUCUGGUGAUUUUGGCAAGGAGGGAAACAAACUGUCUUUGUCUUCAGGAGCGGUCAGAAGCAGGAAUUUUUCUCUUUUUCUCUCAUGCUGUGUCAGGUCUAUUUCUUCGGAAGAUAAUUUUAUUGGUUUGUCUGGAACUGCAAAGCUUACUAGCAUUUGCAGUUGCACUUUGGUGUAAGUUUUAAAGAUGAUACUUAGUAGAAAUAUUUCAUCUUUUACCACAUCAGCAUCAAAUCAUCCCUCUGCAGCAGGACUUGGAAACUGCUGUGCAAAAACAACUGUGUCUAUUUAGAAGAAAGAACCAGAGAAACUGAGCUGGUCAAUCUGAUCCUGAUAAAUCUAUCCAAUGUUUUUCUCAUUAAAAAGUCUUUUUUAUCGUCAUCGUAUGACUUUUUUUGUGUGCUAAGAUCACAUCCCUAUUCUGGUAAUAUUAUGACUGUAUUCUUGUAAUUAAACAAAAAUUUCCUUAGUCCGGCCCCAAUACGCCGUAGUGCAACUCAAAUAAUCAACUCAAAUAGUCAAAACAGGGAUGAUUGGAAUGAAACCACUCUUUGAAAAUUUCUCUCCUUUUGAAUUUCUCUUUUAGAGAAGAAAGCAAGAAAAACAAAUCGAUUAAAAAAAAAACUAUAAUCUGAUGUGGUAUGAAAAUAGUCAGUGGCUUUAUUUUUAAGCCACAUUGUAGCAUUCAGUUGAUUUUGGUUAUCCGAAUGUUUUGAGGUGCUUUCAGCAAACACCGCUUCUCUUUAUCCCUUCAAAUAUCCCAAAUAUUUAGCUGGACUGCCAAGAAAACCCUUUGCCACCAGGGUGCCUGACACUUCUCCUGAGUCAGAACAAACAUCCUCUGUUUAUGUUUUUUGUUUAAUAUGUUAGGAAAGGUCUUUUUUUU